GAUGAACGCUAGCGGCAGGCUUAAUACAUGCAAGACGAACGGUAAGUGUUGUAGCAAUAUAGCACGAGAGUGUCGUACGGGUGCGUAACACGUAUGCAACCUACCUUGUACAGGAGGAUAGCUCGGGGAAACUCGAAUUAACCCUCCAUAAUAUAUUUGAAUGGCAUCAUUUGAAUAUUAAAACCUUGGUGGUACAAGAUGGGCAUGCGUCUGGUUAGUUAGUUGGUAGGUAAUGGACUACCAAGACGAUGAUCAGUAGGGGACCUGAGAGGGU
RNAcentral lists this ribosomal RNA (274 nucleotides) under uncultured bacterium. Its description in RNAcentral is "partial 16S ribosomal RNA". It matches the Rfam family "Bacterial small subunit ribosomal RNA", at positions 28 to 301 of the family's 1533-position model. The record is from RNAcentral.